AGAGGAUGUAGGUGUUGUUCGCCACUGUGUGUGAUCGAACUUCAAUCUUUGUGGGCAAUGCAAGGCUUGCGAGCCCCAUGUGGCUCUCGGCCUUGGUGGGCAUACAUUUGGGUGCACAUUUUGCUUCACUGUCGAUGUGCCAUAAGUAGGUACCUGUGCUUCCGGUUGCCCACCUCUCCAUACUCUCUUCCUGGACUCAGCCGCAAUGCUGCGCAGGAGUUUGAGCCAAAAGCAUUGAAAGAUCUGGUCGAGCCAUGUCAGGGCUUCAGAGACAAAGUUGAGUGAAUUCCCCUGGAUGGAACUCGCAGUGUGUAAGUCCAAAUGGAGGGCAUCUGCCAUUUUGAGAUCCCGGAGGGCUGGUCACUGCAACAUUCUCGUUUUGGUGAGUAUUGGUAGGUGUGCUUAAUCAGCUCUGAGGGGACCGGGAUAUCCCCCAGUGGUCAAAAGAGGGGUUAGGAGUGCUGUCGAACCCAGUCGAGAACCAGAGCGCAGGAAGAUCGGCUGCUUCUCCCCUGCUCCCAGCAGGCCACAACAGGACUCCCAGGUAUGUAGCAGGACAAGUCCUCGUUUGAAGUAACAGAUAGCUUGCCCGGAAGUCCCCUGCUUUCAGGAACACUUAGAGUGGGUCGCGGUAGCCAGUAAAUCAGGUGUAAUACCCUUUUAUCGAUUAGUAGUGCAGGAGCUGCAGCGUUUCACGUCUGGCUUGCUUGAAGGUCCAGCCCCCCAAUAUUUAUUACUAUUACAACUAUUACAUAAUUGUUUCUUUUACAUUACUUUUUGUAGAGCACUUUCCAUUUCUUAAAAUUUACAUCCUCCUUUACACCAGAAAUGUUUCCUAUCUAUCCUGGCUUUCUCUUAUAUCACUUUUAUCUUGCCAUGGAAAGACAUAUAG
Molecule: non-coding RNA, 892 nt
Organism: Pelobates cultripes (western spadefoot toad)
Lineage: Eukaryota; Metazoa; Chordata; Amphibia; Anura; Pelobatidae
Source: the annotation of a GenBank genome assembly